ACCCCGAAGCUUGUGCCCGGGUAUUGGCACAUACCUCCCUGUUGGACUUGGCCGGGCUUCGUGCCCGGCCUUUUUU
This is a non-coding RNA of Sulfitobacter sp. EhC04, 76 nucleotides long. Lineage: Bacteria; Pseudomonadati; Pseudomonadota; Alphaproteobacteria; Rhodobacterales; Roseobacteraceae. The record is from Rfam.